ACUGGUGGAGACAGGUGAGGACUGGUGGAGACAGGUGAGGACAGGUGGAGACAGGUGAGGACUGGUGGAGACAAUAGAGGACUGGUGGAGACAGGUAGAGACUGGUGGAGACAAUAGAGGACUGGUGGAGACAGGUGAGGACUGGUGGAGACAGGUAGAGACAGGUGGAGACUGGUGGAGACAAUAGAGGACUGGUGGAGACAGGUGAGGACUGGUGGAGACAGGUGAGGACAGGUGGAGACAAUAGAGGACUGGUGGAGACAGGUGAGGACAGGUGGAGACAAUAGAGGACUGGUGGAAACUGGUGAGGACUGGUAGAGACAGGUGAGGACUGGUGGAGACAGGUGAGGACUGGUGGAGACAGGUGAGGACAGGUGGAGACAGGUGAGGACUGGUGGAGACAAUAGAGGACUGG
Dicentrarchus labrax (European seabass) is the source of this 415-nucleotide long non-coding RNA. RefSeq lists it as uncharacterized. The transcript is spliced from 3 exons. The record is from RefSeq and is a predicted model, not a curated record. NCBI's taxonomy places the organism in Eukaryota, Metazoa, Chordata, Actinopteri, Moronidae.